This 475-nucleotide ribosomal RNA is filed under the name uncultured bacterium. Its description in RNAcentral is "bacterial SSU rRNA". It matches the Rfam family "Bacterial small subunit ribosomal RNA", at positions 33 to 507 of the family's 1533-position model. The record is from RNAcentral.
CGACGACGCUGGCGGCGUGCCUCAAACAUGCAAGUCGAGCGAGGCUAUGAGUUACCGCAAGGUAAGGCAUAGCCUAGCGGCGAACGGGUGAGUAACACGUGGGUAACCUACCUGGAAGACAGGGAUAACGAUUCGAAAGGGUCGCUAAUACCUGAUAAUAUCCAUCUGCCGGAUGGCGGAGGGAAGAAAGGGGAAACCCGCUUUCAGAUGGGCCCGCGUCCCAUCAGCUAGUUGGUAAGGUAAAGGCUUACCAAGGCGACGACGGGUAGCCGGUCUGAGAGGAUGUACGGCCACACUGGGACUGAGAUACGGCCCAGACUCCUACGGGAGGCAGCAGUUGGGAAUCUUAGGCAAUGGACGAAAGUCUGACCUAGCGACGCCGCGUGAGGGAAGAAGGCCUUCGGGUUGUAAACCUCUGUCAUGGGGGAAGAAGGAAGUGACGGUACCCCAAGAGGAAGCCCCUGCUAACUACGUG